RNAcentral lists this ribosomal RNA (253 nucleotides) under uncultured bacterium. RNAcentral's name for it is "partial 16S ribosomal RNA". It matches the Rfam family "Bacterial small subunit ribosomal RNA", at positions 524 to 776 of the family's 1533-position model. The record is from RNAcentral.
UACGGGGGGGGCAAGCGUUGUUCGGAAUUACUGGGCGUAAAGGGCUCGUAGGUGGCCAACUAAGUCAGACGUGAAAUCCCUCGGCUUAACCGGGGAACUGCGUCUGAUACUGGAUGGCUUGAGUUCGGGAGAGGGAUGCGGAAUUCCAGGUGUAGCGGUGAAAUGCGUAGAUAUCUGGAGGAACACCGGUGGCGAAGGCGGCAUCCUGGACCGGCAUUGACGCUGAGGAGCGAAAGCUAGGGGAGCAAACGGG